GGGUCUGCUCUUGGACAGCACUAGGGAUUUGUUGUUUGUGCUUACCCUGAAUUUCUCACCCCACCCCAAGCGAGUCUGCUCUUACAUUAUGAAUUAGGGAUACGUCAAAACUCUGUGCGUGUGCUGAAAGCAACCAGGCCUCCAGAUAAUUGACAGAGCGGUGGACUGGCUGUCCUUGGAAUUAAUGCAGCUGAACAAAGGCUUUGUUGAAAUGAGAAAGUCUAGAAGAGGUUUGCUGAGAUCAAGAUUUAAGCUUUGUCAGACCUGUUCACCACGGCUCGGACCUGCCCAGACAAAUUGCAGUCAGCAGCUAAGCUGAGGUCCAGAGAAAGAACACCCUUGAACACAGGAAAACACUACCACCGAUCCCAUGACUUUGUCCAAGUUAUUUUUAGGAAAUUGCUUUUCUUUGGUCUACACGCAACAGCACUCAAUUUAUAGCACUGAUGGGACUGGUAGAGAUCCACAGCCCCGCUCCUGCUGAAGCCAUUGCAGAGGAUCCAGGCUGGAGGUCCCACCAGAUUUCUCCAUCCUGAGGUUCAUUUCAGCCACUUCCGAGUUUGCUUCUUCCCCCACCCUCCUGGUCAGAGCGGGCAGCAGAAAUUCCCAACAGGGCAGGGAAGCGACAGAGACAUGCAGCAGUCACUCCGCUACCCACAGGUAGGCUGAGGCACCCCUCCCUUGCAGGACAACAAGCAGAACAGGAGGGGAUGCCUCAUUUGCCUCUGCAAUAUUUCAACUCUCUCAUUGUGAUCAACUACUCGCCCACCAGCCCCCCAAACCCCCGGCUUGGGAGCCCAGACACUGCCUUGCACAAUGAGGCACCCACCUGCCAGCUUGAAGAGGGCCCCUCCUAAUUAACAAUGCUGGGCAUGGAGCACACCAUACCUGUAAUGGCUUAAACCUCACAAGACUAUAUUUUAAUUAUGGCUAUGUUACAACAGAAUCAGUUGCCUAAUCAAGCUUAAAUCAAAUGCAUAUUUAGCAAUUUUCAUGCUAGCAUUUCCAGAAAUGUGAUACUUGCACAAUGAAUUAUUUAUUUUGUAUACAUCUCAAGUAUUUUUUAAGAACAAAACCAGCAAACCAAUACUCCAGGAAGGUAAAUAAAUAAACUAACAACACUUUUCUGAAUUACCAUCUUCCCUACUGUCUUGGCUGCCAUGCGCUUAGAGCUCUCACAGUAAAAUGAAUAAAGAGCAUUCAAAACCUGUCAACCAAAUUACAGUGCACAUUUCCAUUGUAAACAUGUAUGGAAGAACUCUUUUAUUAACAACAACCUACAGUUAAUAUUUACUUUGUUUGCAAGCUUGGAGCUCCAGAGGCAUCCUUGCUGCAGCAGCUGCAAUAGGUAUUCCAAAAAUAGGUAUUUCCCUAGUAGUAGGCGAGUCUAAAGCUCAUAAAAGCUGCUGUCUAAAAAUGACAGAAUGACAACAGUAGUAGCCAGGUAUUCUGCUCAGUGCACUGUAAGCUGCUUUCAAGGACAUGCCCUCAUCUUUGUACUGAUCAGUGUCACUGUCCAGAAAAACAGUUAACCUGGAGCCCGACAAUAAGCAGGUAUAUAAAUCCCAUUGAUUUCUAGUGAAUUUUAGGAAGGAUCAUCUGAAAGGUAAUCAAGUUGACUAUGAACUUAGGUAACAUAGGCCCAGACUCUGGCAAAAUAUCUACUGACCAGGGCUAGAAUUAAGCAAGUAUUUCAGGUUAUGCAAUAUAGAUAGUGCUUUGCAAGACUGAGUAUUUUCUGUGAUUUUACAACUCUGCGCAAAUCUCUGCUUGUCUUUGCUCCAGCUUACCUGUUUAACAAGACAGUAUGAUAGCACUUACUGGGCUGUUAUGAAGCAUGCAUAAUAUUGUUUAACACUUCAGAUCCCACAAUAAAAAGUGAUGUGAGCACGAAGUAUUGCUAUAACAACAUGGCAUUAUACUGUCAAAGGAGUAAGUGUCAUUAGAGUUAUAGAGAGGAAUUUUAUUUUAAUACUGUGCAGUUCUCUAGGGAGUCCGUUAAUGAUCAGCCAUUAUAGUAACAAUAAAUUACCUUUUACAGUACUUAAGUUUUCUAUGUUAUAAGCAGUAGUCAAAAUUUAAAGAAGGAACAGAUUGAAUUCCCAGUGACACCUGAAUUUUGUACAUUGGCUGCUUUUGACAAACAGCAGCACAGAAAAGAAGAAAUCAAUACAGUAAAGCUUUCACUGGAAAUAGAAUUAUCUUAUUUCAGUUAUCCAUCAUAAUCCCCACUGAAAUCAUUAAGAUUGAAGGGAACAGAGAAAUCUGUAACAGGAUCUUGGCAAAGGCAGAGGGGGAUACUUUCUCUAAACCCUUAAACCUAUACAGUUCUUGCUAAAGCUUGAUAAGGUAUGUUCUAAUCCUUAAUGUGUAUGCCAAUCAAAUUCCAUUGUCUGUGAUUGAAAUCUAGGUCCAAAGCUAUAUUUUCCCCUAAUAUUCCAAACCAUUAGUCAAAGUCCACUGUUGAAAUUUUGUUAAUGUUUUGAGUUGGUCUCAGAUAAGAAUGAUUCAGAUUUUUAAGAUCUUCACUUAAACAAAACCCACAUAUGUACAUGACAGAUGGUGUUAGACACGUAACACAUAGCCUAUAGUAGUGUAGCUAUAUAUACAUCUUAUCUUUGCAUAGUUUUAUAGAUAAGAAUAGGUAGCAUCACUUGUACAGUUAGUCACAAGUCUGGCAGGGGACCUGAAAGCUACAGAAAACUUGGACAAACAGCUCACAAGCAUCUGGUGUCAGGAGAUUCCCAGGCACCAGAGGUUUGCAUCUGGCUUGCUCCCUUUAUAUCCCAGGCUUUUGGAAGGUGGUGUCAACUAAGACACAAUGAUAAUUCAUUGUUAUAAUGCCACUGCCAGCUGAUGGUCUCCAAGCAGAAUGGUGCAAUCUGGGCUACUGCUAGAGAAGAACUGGGAUAGUGGCCUGGCUUCAGUGCAUCACUUAGAUCAUCCUAAAGCCCUAAACAUGCAAUCUCCUGAUCAACACUUAUCCUUAGUUUUUCCUUGAGAGCCUCCAGGUCACAUACUGACUAAGCCCAGUACCUGAGACCACAGCCUCAAGGGAGGUAUGAGGCAGAGAAAAUGGGACAUGAAUUUGGAUAACAGAGCAAAGAUCCCAUGCUCCUAGUAAAUGGAAUCAGCUGAAAUCACAUCUUGACUCAUUGUCACUGUCAGUAAUUAAAUCAUGCACAUUUUUGAAGACUACCGCGCAUGUUUGCCUUUCAGCUUUGUCAUAUGUCUGAAAAAAAAUCAGUAAUACUAAAAUACAUUGUUUUACAGAGCAGAAAGUUAGACUAUACCACCUUCCAUGUGAAUUUGGUUCUUUGUAAUUGGGUAAGCUUGGCCUGCUUUUAAAAAUCUGCUUUAAGGUUUGCAGAUUCCUUAAAGGUUGUUCAGAAAAGAAAAACCUUCAAAGACAAAUAGGCUAGUCCUGGGUAAGUGCAGCACUGGAGACAGGGGUACAAGACAGUUGACUCUGUUAUUCACAAACUAAGAGAGGUAGAAAACUACUUGUGAAAAAGGGACUAAUUCACUAAUUUAAUGAACCUAAUCUUCUGGACAAUUGCUAAACACCUAAAGGAAAUUUGAAAUUUAAUAUUAAGUAAGACUGCUAUUCCCAGAGUAAAUAACAGAUAAGUCUCUUAAUGCACUGGGAAAUCCAUUCCAAUCUUUUGCAGCUGUGUCCUUUGAUAUGGGCAAACAACAAAUACAUUGGGACAUAUCUCUCCCAGUGCACCUCUACUGGCAUCAGAGAUCAAUGUGACCUAUAGUAUUUAAGUGGGGUUUACCCUAACACGAACUCACUCAUAAGCCUGAUUCCAAUCCAUUUUUAAGGAAUGCAGAGGCUGAAGCAGAUGUCACUGACAUUAGCAUCAGGCUCGGUAACUGAGUCAUUACAUUUGAUACAGGAUCUACUUAUAUCCCAGCUAAGAUUAACUAGAACAUGUGGUUACCUGUCAGACAGAUCUUGUUACACAAAUAACUGUCAUGCCUUCCAAACCACAGCAGUGAGAUAUGCCACCUCCAUCAUCUGUAGAAGUCAGACUGGCAGCUGCAGCGUUAGAACUAGCAUUAAAAUCAGCAUUAAAUGAAAGAAGUUUAAAAUGCACCUUCUUUAUGCUGGAAAAUGAACUCCUCUACUUGUCCUCUAACCAAAGUCUGUGCACAGCAGUAUUUGAGAGAUAUCUGCCAUUUGUGUUCCAAAGUGGGUUCAUUUUAGGGCUAGUGGUACACUGCUAUAUUGCUGUACACUAGAGGUGCUUCAUACUAGGAGAACAGAGAUUUCUAUUGAUUUAUUAGUUAAAACUGAAGUUACUCCCCUAAUCAACAUGUUUUCCCCUGCAAAUAUUGAGAGCAGCCCACUCUAUUACUUUGUUUCUUGUGGUUUUCCUUUUUUUGAAUCAUCUCAACUCCUGCAGCUUGUACAGGUUGAUUCAGUAAGCAAGUUCCAGAAUCCCUGACCAACACAGCUGCACCAGCUAAAGCCAGUACACCAAAAAUCAUUUGUGCAUUGUCUUCAAGUGAAUUCAGUGUGCAGCUCUGCAGGCAUAGAGCCACUCUGGGAACAUGGUUGGAAUAGUAGAGAAACAUUCCCAUUUUGGUGAAGUACUCCUACGUACACAUGCCUUGCAAUACAAAAAUACUUAGAAGGAAAACUGAUGCUAGAUAUAAUGAAGCUUCAGGGGAUUAAAUUUAAAUAUGUAAAAAAACAGUUGGAAUAUCAGACUAAAAUAUCUAGAAGGUAGUAGGGUAGGCUCACUAUUGAGACUUCCUUUAGUAAACCUGCACGUGUCUGUCAGAUACAUACAUUAUCGAGCAACCAUGCACAGAAAUUACCAUGAAUAUUUACCAGUAUUUGUCUGGACUAAAGGAUCAGACCUUAUCCAUAAAAUGCAAUCACACUCUUCAAAUAUUGGAAAAGUAGAAAAGUUUCUAGAGGCGUUAAAACAAGGCUGGAUAGGAUGUUGCUAAAUACAUGGAGCUAUUCUACAACCAGCUCAAGCCAGAACACAGCUUCCAUUCCUACACAGUAUUUUGCUGGACGGAUUAGCUGUCAGUGGCCUGCGCUAGAGCUUUGCUCCACCCUGCAUGUCCAUACAUCUUAGCAAGAUCCUUAUGAAAGGCUCUUUCAACUUUACCUACGCAAGGCUGUUCAUCAUGUACCUGCAUCCCCAUGAAACCACACUGUGCUGGUGAAUCAUUCUGUUGGACUGCUAAGACCCAGGCAGUCACAUCCCAUGACAGAGGGUGAUGCAAGUCACUUGGCAAUGAACCUAAUCUCCUUACUGCUGAGGGGAUGGAGGGAGUAAAGCACUGAAGCUUUCGAAAUGUAAUUAAAAACAUGUGUUAUCUUCCAAAUGACUGCAUGAUCUUAGAAUGGUUCUGGGAGCAUUUAAAGUAAACUGUGCCCCAUAAAACAAGACCACAGACUACAACAAACUUGAAAAAUAUUAAUAAGGUACUGUCUAAUUAAAGUUAAUUUGUCUGGAUUAAUUAGUGGACUUUUGGGAACUUGUUUGUAGAGCUUCGUAGAUAUGAGACAUCUUCAGUACUGACUACAGGUCAUUCAGUUACUACCAAGACUAAUCCCAAAAUGCUUGAGAUCAACAGGCACAUGUGGAUACAUAAAAAUCUCCUUCUAAAUAUCCUUUAAAAAAACCCUAAUUUCUAGCUGGGAAGAGGACUCAGACAAUGGCCAAAUGCUAAGAAAUCUGAAGGAAGAAAUCCUGUAAAAUCCCUACGUAUGUAACAUGCAGAUUUGCAUUUUAAAUGCAAUUUCUGAUUUCCUUAGAGUACCUAAUGCUGAGAACACAAAAUUUUUAUACAAUCCAAAAGCACUGAAAAAUUUUAAUGGCUUUCUCAACACGUACUGAAAGAUGUUGCUGAAGGAUGCAUGGCAGGACCACAGACCACUGGACAGAUUGUUUUGUUUUGUAUAUGGCUUCUCUCAUACAGCACUUUGGAUUAGAUAUUAGCAUAAGGACCAUCGAAAGGGACUGUCAUACAUUAGAACCCACACAAAAAGCAAUAACGUAUCUCUCUGUAAAUCUGAUUAUCUGACUGGGCUUCCCAAAGAGGAGUCCAACUUUUACUGCAUUAAAGAAAAGGCACGAUUGCCACCACUGCCGCUAUUGCAAUGCUAUUUUUGAGCAGAUAGGCAUGACAUGGAGAUCACCCCUGAAUACUGUCAUUCUCAUUGCUUUAGUCCAGGCUGUUUCAAUAACACCAGAAAAUGUUUUAUUCAUAUUCAUAAUAAAGCUUCAGAAGAAUGCA
Non-coding RNA from Phalacrocorax carbo (great cormorant), 6267 nucleotides. NCBI's taxonomy places the organism in Eukaryota, Metazoa, Chordata, Aves, Suliformes, Phalacrocoracidae. The record is from RefSeq and is a predicted model, not a curated record.